UUAAUCAAUAAUUUUUCUUCUAUUUACAAGGAACACCAAUCAGCUGGGGGCCAGAUGAACUGGAAGCACAACGUACAGCGGCCGUGAGACUAUUUUCUCCUGAACAUCUCGCCUAACAAGCACACAUCAACUCAUCCCAAGGAAUUGCACAGCAGUUGAAAGGCUCAUUCUCGAACAGCUGGGUGAACUUCACCUUAAAGUGGACCACUUAACAGCUGCACUACAGUCAAUUGUUGGAAACAGAGCUCCUAAUCCAACACCUCAGGGCAACGACUAUGACAGAAGCCUCCCCAUUUCAACAUUGGAGGAACUAGCCAGCUUCGAUGACAGACUUUGUCAGGACAACAAUUUUCAGAAACAUCUGAUCGCAAAGCUGUCCAUGACAGGGGGAAACACUGUCAAAAAAACUGUGUGGCGGGUUUGCAGUAAGGUGUUUGCACCGGAAUUGGCCACCCAGCUAAAUUGGUGUGGAAGAGGGCACAAGACUGGGAUACAAUCACGACCAGUACGUGAAAUCAUUUUGUUGUCAGUUCUCAACAACGGGCUUCAGAUCAAGACCACUGAGGCCGAGGUGGAGGCUGCCAUACAAAAUUGGCUCAGGCUGAGCCAAGACAGAGUUGGAGGACGCCGGAGGGAGAGACCAGCUACAACUACAGACCACUAGAAAGUUCUCAGGAGGAACAGAGUCCUAUUGUUUUAUU
Long non-coding RNA from Salarias fasciatus (jewelled blenny), 701 nucleotides. RefSeq lists it as uncharacterized. Lineage: Eukaryota; Metazoa; Chordata; Actinopteri; Blenniiformes; Blenniidae. The record is from RefSeq and is a predicted model, not a curated record. The transcript is spliced from 6 exons.